AUGGCCGGUCAUACGUCUGGCCGGUGGACGCCACCACAGGGUCGCGCAUCAAAUCCAAAGAAAUCGGGCAGGAGAACUCCUUGGGCACCGAGAAGGAGGUGUCGUCGCAGCCGCCGCCGCCCCACGAUGGAAGCCGCUGCAAGUUUCCCGCCGACGGCCAAUACUGGGCCGCCUUUGCGUUGCCAGGGUCGAACUGCGAGAAGAGGCUGUAGCGGAGCAAGGCGAGAACACCACCGACGAGCAGGAGGGCCUAGCUUGGAGAAGGAUGAACAUUGGAGUAAGAACAAGCAUGGAGUUGAUGGCAUGCACAAGGGGAACAAGAACGGAGUUACAAGUGAUGAUUUCAAGACUUUGAAGCCACCAUAA
This 366-nucleotide ribosomal RNA is filed under the name Triticum aestivum (bread wheat). RNAcentral describes it as "partial small subunit ribosomal RNA". The record is from RNAcentral. Lineage: Eukaryota; Viridiplantae; Streptophyta; Magnoliopsida; Poales; Poaceae.